GAAAGCAUUUUCUUAGUGACUGAUGUAAGA
Molecule: non-coding RNA, 30 nt
Filed under: Mus musculus (house mouse)
Lineage: Eukaryota; Metazoa; Chordata; Mammalia; Rodentia; Muridae
Source: RNAcentral